UCUACUGCUCCACUCACGUUCUAGGCACCUAUGUCUCAGCUAAAUGUAGCCGCAUCCGGGACACAGUUUGUGCCACAUGUGCCGAAAAUUCCUACAACGAGCACUGGAACUACCUGACCAUCUGCCAGCUGUGCCGCCCCUGUGACCCAGGUGAGUGGGGAUGUGCCUGCGCGGGGGCUGGAUCCCCUGGAGCUCGGCCCCUCCCUGAGCCCUCCUGUCUCCCCACCAGUGAUGGGCCUCGAGGAGAUUGCCCCCUGCACAAGCAAACGGAAGACCCAGUGCCGCUGCCAGCCGGGAAUGUUCUGUGCUGCCUGGGCCCUCGAGUGUACACACUGCGAGCUACUUUCUGACUGCCCACCUGGCACUGAAGCCGAGCUCAAAGGUCAGAGGUCCCUGAAGGGCUGGAUGUGAAAAGGAGGCUGGGUGCCAGGGAUCUCAAGUGGGAGCAGGGAAUAUGG
This 458-nucleotide small RNA is filed under the name Pongo abelii (Sumatran orangutan). Its description in RNAcentral is "retained intron". Lineage: Eukaryota; Metazoa; Chordata; Mammalia; Primates; Hominidae. The record is from RNAcentral.